UGGUAAAACUUAGAUAUUCUCCGAGACAAAAGCACAAACAGAUACAAGGUGAGCUCUGAGCUGGAAAAAAAAAAUUAAAAAAAUGGCAACUUACAAUUACAAAGCGCUUGACUGCAUCACCAGCUGCGACAUUGAAGCUCUGGGGAUACCUUCAAAGCUUGCAGAGCAGCUUCAUGAAAAGCUCGCCGAGAUCGUUAACACUCACGGGGCUGCCACUCCCGCCACGUGGCAGAACAUCACUACCCACAUCCUCAGCCCUGACCUUCCCUUCUCCUUUCAUCAGCUGUUGUACUACGGUUGCUAUAAAGACUUUGGACCCGACCCGCCAGCUUGGAUACCCGACCCGUCAUCCGCCUUGGCCGUACAGCAGAUGAAUAUAAAUAUAAAAAUAUUAGUUUUUAAAUUUUUUAAAUUAAAAAAUAAAUAAUUUAUUAUUUAUUUUUAGUGAUUUAGACAAUAAACAUAUCAUUCAAUUAUAUUCCUAAUUCAGAAUAAUUCAUGUGUAUUCUGAUUUCAAACAAACAAAUAAACGCCACGUAAGUGUGAUUAUAAAAGAUAGAUUAACAGCGUUCAUCCUAUGUGAAGGUGAUGGAGGAUGGUAAAACUUAGAUAUUCUCCGAGACAAAAGCACAAACAGAUACAAGGUGAGCUCUGAGCUGGAAAAAAAAAAUUAAAAAAAUGGCAACUUACAAUUACAAAGCGCUUGACUGCAUCACCAGCUGCGACAUUGAAGCUCUGGGGAUACCUUCAAAGCUUGCAGAGCAGCUUCAUGAAAAGCUCGCCGAGAUCGUUAACACUCACGGGGCUGCCACUCCCGCCACGUGGCAGAACAUCACUACCCACAUCCUCAGCCCUGACCUUCCCUUCUCCUUUCAUCAGCUGUUGUACUACGGUUGCUAUAAAGACUUUGGACCCGACCCGCCAGCUUGGAUACCCGACCCGUAAAUAUUAUUUAAUUCCAUUCAGUUUAUUUCAACUUUUUCUUCAUUAUUGUGAGUUUUGUCAUAUAUUGAACUUUUGCAUGUAUUGAAUGAUAGCUUGUCAAGUAAUUUUUUGAUAAUGCUUUGGGAAAAUAAUUAUGACUUUUGAUGGCUUCCGGUGAAAUUUGGAGUUGAUUCAAUCAGAAUUUAUUGUUUGGUAAUAGUGAUAGUAGAACUUAGUUCAAGAUUUUCAGCUGAUUCUAAGUUUAUUUCAGUGUAACUGUGAUUCCCAAAGCCCAAUUGUGUGGAUUCUAUUGUUUUAGGAUUGUCGCAGAGGAGCUAUUGAAGCAAGUGGAUUAAAUAUUAACUAAGUACGAGAAACAAGGAGCAAUUUGAUUAUUAAAACCUAAGAAAACAUGCUGAAAUGCCCAAUUAAUUGAGUGGUAAACUUUUUACAUGCUAAAAAAAUGAAGAGUUUUUCAACGGCUGAAGAGGACAAAAUGAAAUUUGGAGUAUUUUUAUGCAAAUUCGUGUUUCUUUGCUUCUUUUCUUAAUUUAUACUGUUUAUAUGAAUAUUAAAUUGCUCUCUUUAUCUUUUUGUUGUUUCAAAUUAAUGCCUUGUUGUAUGGGUAGGGAG
RNAcentral lists this long non-coding RNA (1557 nucleotides) under Citrus sinensis (sweet orange). RNAcentral's name for it is "long non-coding RNA (CSIN_LNC005011)". The record is from RNAcentral. Lineage: Eukaryota; Viridiplantae; Streptophyta; Magnoliopsida; Sapindales; Rutaceae.